CAGUCGCCACGGGAACACGUAGGGUGCAAGCGUUAAUCGGAAUUACUGGGCGUAAAGCGUGCGCAGGCGGUUAUAUAAGACAGAUGUGAAAUCCCCGGGCUCAACCUGGGAACUGCAUUUGUGACUGUAUAGCUAGAGUACGGCAGAGGGGGAUGGAAUUCCGCGUGUAGCAGUGAAAUGCGUAGAUAUGCGGAGGAACACCGAUGGCGAAGGCAAUCCCCUGGGCCUGUACUGACGCUCAUGCACGAAAGCGUGGGGAGCAAACAGGAUUAGAUACCCCGGUAGUCCCUGUCUCUUAUAC
This 301-nucleotide ribosomal RNA is filed under the name uncultured bacterium. RNAcentral describes it as "partial 16S ribosomal RNA". It matches the Rfam family "Bacterial small subunit ribosomal RNA", at positions 509 to 807 of the family's 1533-position model. The record is from RNAcentral.